CCUGAAACAUGGCCAACAUGGGAUUAGAUCCUAUUGAAGGCAAGACCAUAUAUAUGAAUCCCAACCCAAGCCCAGGAUAUAAACAUGAUUGCUACAACAUAGUAGGUAAAAUCAUGUCAGAAAAAGAAGUCAAAUUCAAAAUGAUCAAGAACUCCAUCCUAAGAAUGUGAGGUAACCCAAAAGAUGUCUCUAUUUCAAAAGUUGCAAGAAACACUGUCCUAAUCAGCUUCAAAGACAGUCAAAAAGAAACGAAAUCUGGGUAUUCAUAGAUGUUACCAGCCUCUCCACACCGGCUUCUACUUGGGCAGAGGUGAGCUUCAGGAUUGCUAUUGCUUUAACUGCGGUAUCAUCGGUCACGAGAAAAAGAACUGCAAAAAUUUUAAAGCCAUCCAAACUGCGGUAUGAUGUAGGUUUAGGAACAAAAAUUUUAAAGCCAUCCAAACUGCGGUAUGAUGUAGGUUUAGGAACAACCGGAGCCAAACCGCUAACCAUGGAAGGAGGACAGGAGAAAGAUGAAGAAAAUUGAAACGAGACGAGGCGCGUGGGAACCAAGCGAAAGAGAGGGAGAGUUGUGACAACCACAGCUCAGAGGACAAUAGCAAAACCCGCUGGAUACAAUUAUACAAAGAAUUUCUGAAAUGGAAGUGACAUCCAGAAAAUUGAAAAUACAAGAAGCACGAGAUUUAGGUGGCGAUAAGAAAGAAACAAAAUAGAAUGCAAAUCCAUUGUUACAAGUUAAACCCCCUCGAGACAGCAAUCACAACAUCAUCAAUCACAUUGGAGCUAUUAUCCUUAGAAUUUUUUUCCUCAACUCAUUUCAUAAAAAAAGCAAACCUUAGCAGAGUCCUUCCUCCAUAAAAACCAAAUCCUAGCGAGAUUUUUUCUACAAAUUCAUGGAGGCCGCUUCGCCACCGAUUUGCAUGACCACCACGCUCCUUGUUUGCGUUCGUGUUCAUCAUCACAGCUCACCUCGAUUCACUGCGACUGCAUCUUCGCGACUCUGUUCGGAUCCUUCGCGUUGUGUGGUAAUGUCUGGCCUCUCUCCAUUUGAGCUCGGUUGCUCUCCCCAGCUCGAGUUGUGCUUUCUGUUCGUGUCGUCUCCCUCCUCACGUCUCCGCAAUAACCAUCAAAGCACAGAAUCUUUUUCAAGCACAAAAUCUUCUUCAGGUAAGGAUUUUAAACUGUUAGCGAUUUCUGUUAAAACGUGUGGUUUGACAUUGUUUAUAUUUGGAUUUUUAUUUUUAUUUUUUUUACUGAACUCUCUCUAUUUCUACUAGAAUAUGACAUGCUAAAUUGAAUAUGGCAUAUAUAUUUGUACAUGUUAUGGUGGAUUGAAUCAAAGGUUAUAAAACAGAAUUGUGUUUUUUUUACUGAUUCUAUUUUCAGUUACAUGAAAUUGAUAGACAUAUAUUCUGCUGAUUCUAUUUUUUUCUGUUUCAGGAAUAAUUAUUGUAUACUGUAAUGAUUUCAGUGAUAUUACAUAAGUGAACCAAAUUUGACAAUUUAGGACUAUGAAAGAACACUUAUUUAUUCACUUUCGCUAAGCGAGACAAAUUUGUUAGUAGUUCAUGUGUAUAAAUCAUGUCCAAGCUUACUGGAAAGACGAAUCAAUUUUACUUAUUCAUUUUUUCAAUUUUCACUUUUGUUUCAAUUGAUUAUGUGAGAUCAUUUCAAAUUUUCAACACAUGGAUAUCAGAAUAUGUACCAUAUGAAUCUCACCCACGUAUUCAUAUUCUUUUGGUUUUAGUGAUUAUCUUAGUUGUUGGAUUAUGUAGAAUCUUGGAUGGUUGAUAUGAUUUAAGUUAUUGUCAUCUGCUUGUUAUAGAUAAUAAUUUAAGAAUUUCUCUCCCAAUAUUGAUAAUUAGUGUGACUGUUUUACUUUCUGCUGAUUUGAGGAAUGAUCUAUGCUUUUUUUUGCUGCUAUUAAUUUACAUCUACAUUGGGAUGUACUUUUAUCAUAGUUUUCUUAUAUUAGAUAUAAAGUAUGCUUUUUCCAAAGUGCUUAUUAGUUAUUAAUUUGUAAAUGAAAAAUUAUUCUGCUUAUUAAUCUAUAGAGAAUGGAAGAGAAUUCUCGACCUAAUUCAAAGCAAACUAAGUAUCAAUGGAUGCCACACGAAAAUGCAAAACUAGUUGAGUAUUUGGUGGAGCUUGCAACUACUUCGUGAAAGUGUGACAAUGGCACGUUCAAAUCCGAUUAUAAAAAACAUUUGGAAAAAAGAAAAAAUGUUUCAUGAAAAGAUCCCUCAAUGUGAUCUUAAGGUAUAAUUUUUUAACAUAAUACUUGCUUUUUUCGUUUAUAAUUAUAUAGUUUGUUAAUUUACAAUAUAAAAAUGCCUUUUUGGAUGAAUUGAAUUUAGUCUUAGUAGUAAUAACUCUAAAUUGUUAUGCUAUUUAUAGGCUAAUCCACACAUUGAAUCAAGGGUGAAAUUGCUUAAAAGACAAUAUUUUGCAAUAGUUGAGAUAGAUGGGCACAGGAAUGGAUUUGGUUGGAACGACAAAGAUAAAAUGAUUGUAGUGGGACGACAAAUUUUCAAUGAAUGGAAGAGUGUAAAUUCUAAACAACUUUCUUAAUUCAAUUUUAUUUAUCUUAGCUUUUUAAUAUUUAUUACUUACUUUUUUUUUUUUAAUUUCAAUUCCAUCCUAAUGCUAAUGGCCUCUACAAUAAACCAUUUUCACAUUUUGAAGAGUUGGGAACAGCAUUUGGUAGAGAUAGGGCUCAAGUAGGCAAUGCAGAAAAUGUAACUCAAGCAGUUGCUACUAUAGAGGCUAAGCACCAAGCAAACUUGAAUGAUCGACAAGUGAAUGAAAACACCCAAGCAAAUUUGGAAGAGACUGAAAUUGAAUAUGAAACUGAUUUGUAAGCAAUUGACUCGAGUUCAUGUAGAUAAAUUCACUUAUUAUUGAUCUUAUUAUUGUGUACUUCCUUAAAUUUUGGAGUGAUUUUUCAUUAGUUCAAUAGUUACUGUUUGUUUUUUUAUUCUUCGUUAGUUUAAUAGUUACUGUUUUCUUGGUUCUUGAUUCACUUAUUCAUAUACUAUUCUUUACUUAUAGCACAAUUUUUUAUUUUAACGUUGUCCCCUUCACUCAAGCCUAAGGUUUUAAAUAUAGGGUGUUACACAAUUUCAUUGAUUGAAGAAAAAAAAAAAAAGAUUAGUUAGAGAUAUUAAAGGUGUUUCUACUUUAUAGCAAAUUCAUUUGAAAUGGUAGGAACACCUUUCAUAUCUCUAUUUGAUUUUUUUUUCAAUCAAUAAAAUUAUGUUACACCCUAUCUUUAAAACUUUAGGCUCGAGUGAGUGAGGGCAACUUUAAAAUAAAAAAUUGCUCUGUAAGGGAAGAAUAAUAUAUGAAUAUGUGACUCAAGAAUCAAGAAUAUAUUGAACUAAUGAAAUUCAAGAAAGUACACAAUAGUAGAGUCAACAAUAAGUGAAUUUAUAUACAUAAACUAGAGUCAAUUGUUUAGAAUUAGCUUCAUAUUUAAUUUUAGUCUCUUCCAAAUUUGAUUGGAUAUUUUUAUUCACUUGCCUCACUCAAGUUUGCUUUGCGCUCAGCCUCCAUAGUAGCAACUGCUUGAGUUACAUUUUCUACAUUGCUUCUUGAGCCCUAUCUCUACCAAAUGCUAUUUCUAACUCUUCAAAAUGUGAAAAUGGUUUAUUGUAGAGGCCAUUAACAUUAGGAUGGGACUGAAAUUAAAAGAAAAAUAAGCAAUAAAUAUUAAAAAGUUAAGAUAAAUAAAAUUGAAUUAAGAAAAGUUGUCUAGAAUUUAUGCUCUUCUAUUCAUUAAAAAUUUGUCGCUUCAUUACAAUCAUUUUAUCUUUAUCGUUUCAACCAAAUCCACUCCCAGCCGUGCCCAUCAUCUCAAUUAUUGCAAAAUAUUAUCUCUUAAGCAAUUUCACCCUUAUCCAAUGUGUGGAUUAGCCUAAACAUAGCAUAACAAUUUAGAAUUAUUACUUCUAAGACUAAAUUCAAUAAACCGAAUUUUCAUACAAUGGCCCCACAAUUCAUCCAAAAAGGCAUUUUUCUAUUGUAAAUUAACAAACUAUACAAUUAUAACACAACUAUACAAUUAUAAAUGAAAAAAA
Long non-coding RNA from Arachis ipaensis, 4079 nucleotides. RefSeq lists it as uncharacterized. The record is from RefSeq and is a predicted model, not a curated record. NCBI's taxonomy places the organism in Eukaryota, Viridiplantae, Streptophyta, Magnoliopsida, Fabales, Fabaceae.